AAGGAAACGUAGCGGGACUGUGGCCCAGAGAGCGGAGUGGGGAUUCAUCUGCCCAAGCAAAGACCAGAGCAUUUCAAGGCUUACAGACCUCGCCCCUCAGCAAAGCCUCGUUCCAGGCCCAGGGCUUAGAACAGUCAACGCCAGACAUACGGAAGCACUUAAUAAAUUUUUGCUGAUGGAUGAGCAAAUCAACGGACGAGUGACGUGGAUGGAUAUGGGCCUUUGGAAAGUAAUGUCAGCAACAGACCAGCAGAGAGAGGGAAAAGGCUUUCAUAAGCAGAGGGAACCACGUGGGCAAAAGCAGAAGGGGCAGAAAUGACUUGGUUUGCUCGGCAGUUGGCAAGCUGGGACCAGAGUUCC
This 360-nucleotide long non-coding RNA is filed under the name Mustela putorius furo (domestic ferret). Its description in RNAcentral is "lncRNA (ENSMPUG00000026967.1)". Lineage: Eukaryota; Metazoa; Chordata; Mammalia; Carnivora; Mustelidae. The record is from RNAcentral.